CAGUCAUACUGUGAUGAAAGCAACUCUUCUCAUCCGAUCACCGAAGUUAAGCAUCCUCCGGCGCGAUCAGUACUUGCGAAGGUGUCCAUG
This is a non-coding RNA of Trichonephila inaurata madagascariensis, 90 nucleotides long. The record is from the annotation of a GenBank genome assembly. Lineage: Eukaryota; Metazoa; Arthropoda; Arachnida; Araneae; Nephilidae.